Molecule: ribosomal RNA, 497 nt
Filed under: uncultured bacterium
Lineage: Bacteria
Description: partial 16S ribosomal RNA
Rfam family: Bacterial small subunit ribosomal RNA
Source: RNAcentral
GAUGAACGCUGGCGGUGUGCCUAAUACAUGCAAGUCGAGCGACAAGAUGAGGAGCUUGCUCUCUUGCCGUUAGCGGCGGACGGGUGAGUAACAAGUGGAUAACAUACUAAUAUGACUGGGAUAAUUACGGGAAACAGGAGAUAAUAAUGGAUAAUACAAUCAACCGCAUGGAGCAAUAGAGCAAGACGGUUUUGCCGACAGAAUUAGAUGGUUCCGGGCCGCAUUAGCUAGUUGGUAAGGUAACGGCUUACCAAGGCGACGAUGCGUAGCCGACCUGAGAGGGUGAUCGGCCACACUGGAACUGAGACACGGUCCAGACUCCUACGGGAGGCAGCAGUAGGGAAUCUUCCGCAAUGGGCGAAAGCCUGACGGAGCAACGCCGCGUGAGUGAUGAAGGUCUUCGGAUCGUAAAACUCUGUUAUUAGGGAAGAACAAAUGUGGAAGAAAAUAUGCACGUCUUGACGGUACCUAAUCAGAAAGCAACGGCUAACUACGUG